This 282-nucleotide long non-coding RNA is filed under the name Salvia miltiorrhiza (redroot sage). RNAcentral's name for it is "long non-coding RNA (SMIL_LNC004417)". The record is from RNAcentral. Lineage: Eukaryota; Viridiplantae; Streptophyta; Magnoliopsida; Lamiales; Lamiaceae.
GUGGGUAGAUUUUAGCACAUAGAUAAUAUUUUGGGUGAAUCUCCUCGAACUUUUUUAGCACAUAGAUAAUAUUUUGGGUGGGUAGAUUUCAUUUUUUUUUCUUUUUAAUUUGAGUUUGAAUUUAAAUUGAAUCUCUUCCUUCAAUUUAAUCUGGAUAUGAUUUUAUUUUUAAGAGUAUUUAUUUUAAUAUAAUAAUUAUAUUUUAUUAAUCAAAAGUAUUAAUUGAUUGACAUAAUUAUAUUAAUUUUAUUAAAAUAAAUAUAAUUAUAAAAAUUAAGAUAU